ACUACAUACGUGUCUAACGUGGAAUAUAACGACGCAUUUAUAAAGACGAUAAAGACGGGACCUGGACCCAGUUGCCAGUUGCGAAUUCAACGCUCGUCACUGGCCAACUGAUGAACUUGAACCAAAAAAAAAAGAUGAAGAAAAAAACAGGCAGCAAGAGAGAAAAAUAAUAGUGAAACUGAAUACUGUAAAGUUUGCCAUGUAAACGGACAUAAAUUGUGCCGCCGGAAAGCAAAGGCGAACAAAAGUCUCGGAUAAAUCAUCCCAAAACAAAAUUGCAAACAACGGCCAGCAGAGUAACACCAGCAACAACAAUGGCAAACAAAUGCUGCCUUAAGCCGCAAACUACAGUGAAAGUGACGUAAUGCUACAAAAAACGAGCAAAAAAUAUGUAUAAAAAACCAUUAAACAACGACAACAAAGUAAAGAGAAGCGGCGGGGAGCACUGCUAUACUAGUAGGGCAGCGGAAAAAAAUGUCAAUGUCUUUUACAAGCAAGCCGAGGAGGAUGAACACGAAGAAGCGCCAGCUGACCAAAAGGAUCAGCGUGGGGGCGGGGCGGAAGUUCCAGGGUUGUGGGGCGGGGUAUGCAUAAGGGAUAAAGGACGAAGAGCAGCAGUAGGAGCAGGCGAUGCGAAUAAAGUAAACAAUGUUGGCCCAGAGACCUUUGGCGAUGGCUGCGGCACGUGUUGAAACUAUCGAACUAGUCCUUUUAGUCCUUUUUAGUUUUAAAACUUUACUUUCUUUUACAAAAGAGACAUUUUCUAAUUGUGGUAAUUUAAGACAAUUAUUCUCCCAAGAUUGACAUUAAAAAGUAACUAUAAUA
Molecule: long non-coding RNA, 825 nt
Organism: Drosophila ananassae
Lineage: Eukaryota; Metazoa; Arthropoda; Insecta; Diptera; Drosophilidae
Exons: 2
Source: RefSeq, a predicted model, not a curated record